AGCGUGCAAGCCCCAAAGCGAGCGACAUGUCCCUUUGGGGAGCAGUCCCUCUGCACCCCAGAGUGAGGAGGACGCAGGGGUCAGAGGACUCAUCUGAUGAUGUGAGAAGAGUUCAGAGGAGGGAGAAAAAUCGUAUUGCCGCCCAGAAGAGCCGACAGAGGCAGACACAGAAGGCCGACACCCUGCACCUGGAGAGCGAAGACCUGGAGAAACAGAACGCGGCUCUACGCAAGGAGAUCAAGCAGCUCACGGAGGAACUGAAGUACUUCACGUCGGUGCUGAACAGCCACGAGCCCCUGUGCUCGGUGCUGGCCGCCAGCACGCCCUCGCCCCCCGAGGUGGUGUACAGCGCCCACGCAUUCCACCAACCUCAUGUCAGCUCCCCGCGCUUCCAGCCCUGAGCUUCCGAUGCGGGGAGAGCAGAGCCUCGGGAGGGGCACACAGACUGUGGCAGAGCUGUGCCCAUCCCGCAGAGGCCCCUGUCCACCUGGAGACCCGGAGACAGAGGCCUGGACAAGGAGUGAACACGGGAACUGUCACGACUGGAAGGGCGUGAGGCCUCCCAGCAGUGCCGCAGCGUUUCGAGGGGCGUGUGCUGGACCCCACCACUGUGGGUU
Molecule: small RNA, 617 nt
Filed under: Pan troglodytes (chimpanzee)
Lineage: Eukaryota; Metazoa; Chordata; Mammalia; Primates; Hominidae
Description: processed transcript
Source: RNAcentral